Molecule: transfer RNA, 49 nt
Filed under: Erycina hyalinobulbon
Lineage: Eukaryota; Viridiplantae; Streptophyta; Magnoliopsida; Asparagales; Orchidaceae
Description: partial tRNA-Leu
Source: RNAcentral
AAAUCCGUCGAAUCUCUAAAUCGUGAGGGUUCAAGUCCCUCUAUCCCCA